This 789-nucleotide ribosomal RNA is filed under the name uncultured bacterium. RNAcentral describes it as "bacterial SSU rRNA". It matches the Rfam family "Bacterial small subunit ribosomal RNA", at positions 49 to 805 of the family's 1533-position model. The record is from RNAcentral.
UAACACAUGCAAGUCGAACGAGAGGAGAAGGAAGCUUGCUUCUUUCAAAUCUAGUGGCAAACGGGUGCCUAACACGUAAACAACCUGCCUUCAGGAUGGGGACAACAGACGGAAACGACUGCUAAUACCGAAUACGUUCCUUAGGUCGCAUGACUUUAGGAAGAAAGGGUGGCCUCUACUUGUAAGCUAUCGCCUGAAGAGGGGUUUGCGUCUGAUUAGGUAGUUGGUGAGGUAACGGCCCACCAAGCCGACGAUCAGUAGCCGGUCUGAGAGGAUGAACGGCCACACUGGAACUGAGACACGGUCCAGACUCUUACGGGAGGCAGCAGUGGGGAAUCUUCCGCAAUGGGCGAAAAGCCUGACGGAGCAAACGUCGCGUGAGUGAAGACGGCCUUCGGGUUGUAAAGCUCUGUGAUCGGGGACGAACGGUCGGCAGACCAAUACUCUGCUGAAGUGACGGUACCCGAAUAGCAAGCCACGGCUAACUACGUGCCAGCAGCCGCGGUAAUACGUAGGUGGCAAGCGUUGUCCGGAAUUAUUGGGCGUAAAGCGCGCGCAGGCGGCUUCUUAAGUCCAUCUUAAAAGUGCGGGGCUUAACCCCGGGAUGGGAUGGAAACUGAGAGGCUGGAGUAUCGGAGAGGAAAGUGGAAUUCCUAGUGUAGCGGUGAAAUGCGUAGAGAUUAGGAAGAACACCGGUGGCGAAGGCGACUUUCUGGACGACAACUGACGCUGAGGCGCGAAAGCGUGGGGAGCAAACAGGAUUAGAUACCCUGGUAGUCCACCCCGUAA